RNAcentral lists this ribosomal RNA (247 nucleotides) under uncultured Mycobacterium sp. Its description in RNAcentral is "partial 16S ribosomal RNA". It matches the Rfam family "Bacterial small subunit ribosomal RNA", at positions 527 to 773 of the family's 1533-position model. Lineage: Bacteria; Bacillati; Actinomycetota; Actinomycetes; Mycobacteriales; Mycobacteriaceae. The record is from RNAcentral.
GUAGGGUGCGAGCGUUGUCCGGAAUUACUGGGCGUAAAGAGCUCGUAGGUGGUUUGUCGCGUUGUCCGUGAAAUCCCACGGCUUAACUGUGGGCGUGCGGGCGAUACGGGCAGACUGGAGUACUGCAGGGGAGACUGGAAUUCCUGGUGUAGCGGUGGAAUGCGCAGAUAUCAGGAGGAACACCGGUGGCGAAGGCGGGUCUCUGGGCAGUAACUGACGCUGAGGAGCGAAAGCGUGGGGAGCGAAC